UCAGGGUUUGGGAUUCAGGUGC
Molecule: microRNA, 22 nt
Filed under: Bos taurus (domestic cattle)
Lineage: Eukaryota; Metazoa; Chordata; Mammalia; Artiodactyla; Bovidae
Description: bta-miR-2472
Source: miRBase by way of RNAcentral